UGAACGCUAGCGGCAGGCCUAAUACAUGCAAGUCGAACGGUAAGAUCUCGCUUGCGAGAUACACGAGUGGCGCACGGGUGAGUAACGCGUAUGCAACCUACCUUCAACUGGAGAAUAGCCCCGAGAAAUCGGGAUUAAUACUCCAUAAUGUCCAACUUUCACAUGAUUGUUGGAUUAAAGCUCCGGCGGUUGGAGAUGGGCAUGCGUGACAUUAGUUUGUUGGUGAGGUAACGGCUCACCAAGACUACGAUGUCUAGGGGUUCUGAGAGGAUUUUCCCCCACACUGGUACUGAGACACGGACCAGACUCCUACGGGAGGCAGCAGUAAGGAAUAUUGGUCAAUGGACGAAAGUCUGAACCAGCCAUGCCGCGUGCAGGAUGACAGCCCUACGGGUUGUAAACUGCUUUUAUACGGGAAGAACCCCCUGUACGUGUACAGGGUUGACGGUACCGUACGAAUAAGGAUCGGCUAACUCC
Molecule: ribosomal RNA, 477 nt
Filed under: uncultured bacterium
Lineage: Bacteria
Description: bacterial SSU rRNA
Rfam family: Bacterial small subunit ribosomal RNA
Source: RNAcentral